UUGUCCUUACCCCUUGUGAAGGGUCACCAAGGAUUAGAUCCCUUGGAUGACCAUGUGCAUACCUCCAUUCCCUCGGAAGAUCUUGAUUUCUUGCUUGGGGUUGAUCUUCUUCAUCUUGCUGAAUUGUAUCUUCCUUGACUUCAUCCUCAAGUUGUUUGUCUUGUAUGGAGAACUCCUUCAUUCUGUCUUCAAGUAUACCUGCAUCACCAUCUUCUUCUUUUCUAGAAGAAUCUCCAUUAGCUUCAUCAAAAACAACAUGAAUGGAUUCUUCAACAACGAGAGUUCUCUU
This 289-nucleotide long non-coding RNA is filed under the name Phoenix dactylifera (date palm). Its description in RNAcentral is "long non-coding RNA (PDAC_LNC020685)". Lineage: Eukaryota; Viridiplantae; Streptophyta; Magnoliopsida; Arecales; Arecaceae. The record is from RNAcentral.